UCUUUUGAUUAUAAAUUUGACGAUGAAAAGAAAAAAAUUCUAGUAGAAAAUAGAAAAAAAUACAUAACAGAGUUACCAAAAUAUAUAAUAAAAUUAUAAUAACUAAAUAACAUAUUAUUUAUUAAUUUUAGAUAUAAGGGUAUUAUAGGCAGUUUGAGAUGUGUAUUAAGUUUAAUAUCGAAAUGAAAAAUUAUAUGAGGGGUGUAUUAAGCAAGAGGUGUGUAUUAAGAGAUUAGGGGUGUGUAUUUAAAAUUUCUAGAGAGAAAUAUCUGCGAACUAUGAAAAAAUGUACGCACGCAAAACACAAAUCUUCUCCCUCAUCCAUCUUCCUCCUCUUUACUUCUGCUAACUACUCACCUUCUCCAGCAAAAAACUAUUCUCGCGACUCUGUCUCUCUGCUAAUAGCCUACAUCUCAGGUAAUUUGAUGGCUUCAGAAGCCUUGGUUCUUAUAUAUUUACGAUAAAUUGAUACGACCUAUUGUACUGGAAACACAGGAGCCUUCGACCUGUUGUAAUCAAAGCACAAGACCCUUCAAGUUUUGUUGAGUUAAUUUGUCGUUAAUGAAGCAUAAAAGUGAAGUCUUGAUGAGUUUGUCAUUGAUUAAUCAUUAAAGUGAAGUCGAACGCGCAUAGGAGAAUUUUUUCAGUGCUCCGGGAGAACUAUAUUAGCGUGCCUAAUGGUCCUCCAUCACUAAUAAAACGUCGACACGUGUUACUUUUGUGACACGUCAUAAUGAGGUUAAAUAUUACUGCAUCGUAAAAAAAAACUGUAAGCUCCGUGGGUAACUACCGUUAUCUUUCAAUCCCGAGCCCUAACCAUUAAAAAAAAUAAAAAUCUCCGAGACAGAGAGGGUGGAAGAACCAAAUUCAGCUAAUUAAAUAUAG
RNAcentral lists this long non-coding RNA (885 nucleotides) under Fragaria vesca (wild strawberry). Its description in RNAcentral is "long non-coding RNA (FVES_LNC005460)". The record is from RNAcentral. Lineage: Eukaryota; Viridiplantae; Streptophyta; Magnoliopsida; Rosales; Rosaceae.